Molecule: ribosomal RNA, 492 nt
Filed under: uncultured bacterium
Lineage: Bacteria
Description: partial 16S ribosomal RNA
Rfam family: Bacterial small subunit ribosomal RNA
Source: RNAcentral
AGUGAACGCUGGCGGUAGGCCUAACACAUGCAAGUCGAACGGCAGCACAGUAAGAGCUUGCUCUUACGGGUGGCGAGUGGCGGACGGGUGAGGAAUACAUCGGAAUCUACUUUUUCGUGGGGGAUAACGUAGGGAAACUUACGCUAAUACCGCAUACGACCUACGGGUGAAAGCAGGGGAUCUUCGGACCUUGCGCGAUUGAAUGAGCCGAUGUCGGAUUAGCUAGUUGGCGGGGUAAAGGCCCACCAAGGCGACGAUCCGUAGCUGGUAUGAGAGGAUGAUCAGACACACUGGAACUGAGACACGGUCCAGACUCCUACGGGAGGCAGCAGUGGGGAAUAUUGGACAAUGGGCGCAAGCCUGAUCCAGCCAUACCGCGUGGGUGAAGAAGGCCUUCGGGUUGUAGAGCCCUUUUGUUGGGAAAGAAAAGCAGCAGGUUAAUACCCCGCUGUUCUGACGGUACCCAAAGAAUAAGCACCGGCUAACUUCGUG